AACCUCCGCAAUGUGAGAAAUCGCGACGGGGGGAUCCCAAGUGCCAUUCUUAACGGGAUGGCUUUUCAUUAGUGUAAAGAGCUUUUGGAAUAAGGGCUGGGCAAGACCGGUGCCAGCCGCCGCGGUAACACCAGCAGCUCUAGUGGUAGCAGUUUUUAUUGGGCCUAAAGCGUCCGUAGCCGGUUUAAUAAGUCUCUGGUGAAAUCCUGUAGCUUAACUGUGGGAAUUGCUGGAGAUACUAUUAGACUUGAGACCGGGAGAGGUUAGAGGUACUCCCAGGGUAGAGGUGAAAUUCUGUAAUCCUGGGAGGACCGCCUGUUGCGAAGGCGUCUAACUGGAACGGUUCUGACGGUGAGGGACGAAAGUUAGGGGCGCGAACCGGAUUAGAUACCCGGGUAGUCCUAACCGUAAACGAUGCGGACUUGGUGUUGGGGUGGCUUUGAGCUGCUCCAGUGCCGAAGGGAAGCUGUUAAGUCCGCCGCCUGGGAAGUACGGUCGCAAGACUGAAACUUAAAGGAAGU
This 521-nucleotide ribosomal RNA is filed under the name uncultured bacterium. Its description in RNAcentral is "bacterial SSU rRNA". It matches the Rfam family "Archaeal small subunit ribosomal RNA", at positions 345 to 866 of the family's 1478-position model. The record is from RNAcentral.